This 104-nucleotide small nuclear RNA is filed under the name Tursiops truncatus (common bottlenose dolphin). Lineage: Eukaryota; Metazoa; Chordata; Mammalia; Artiodactyla; Delphinidae. The record is from RNAcentral.
GCAAGUGUGUGCCAUGCUCAGUUCAAAAUUGAACAAUACAGAGAAAACCAGCAAAGUCCCUGUGCAAGGAUGACACGUAAAUUCCUGAAGCAUACUUUAAGAGU